This 673-nucleotide ribosomal RNA is filed under the name Paenibacillus polymyxa. RNAcentral's name for it is "bacterial SSU rRNA". It matches the Rfam family "Bacterial small subunit ribosomal RNA", at positions 94 to 754 of the family's 1533-position model. The record is from RNAcentral. Lineage: Bacteria; Bacillati; Bacillota; Bacilli; Caryophanales; Paenibacillaceae.
AGCGGCGGACGGGUGAGUAACACGUAGGCAACCUGCCCACAAGACAGGGAUAACUACCGGAAACGGUAGCUAAUACCCGAUACAUCCUUUUCCUGCAUGGGAGAAGGAGGAAAGGCGGAGCAAUCUGUCACUUGUGGAUGGGCCUGCGGCGCAUUAGCUAGUUGGUGGGGUAAUGGCCUACCAAGGCGACGAUGCGUAGCCGACCUGAGAGGGUGAUCGGCCACACUGGGACUGAGACACGGCCCAGACUCCUACGGGAGGCAGCAGUAGGGAAUCUUCCGCAAUGGGCGAAAGCCUGACGGAGCAACGCCGCGUGAGUGAUGAAGGUUUUCGGAUCGUAAAGCUCUGUUGCCAGGGAAGAACGUCUUGUAGAGUAACUGCUAUAAGAGUGACGGUACCUGAGAAGAAAGCCCCGGCUAACUACGUGCCAGCAGCCGCGGUAAUACGUAGGGGGCAAGCGUUGUCCGGAAUUAUUGGGCGUAAAGCGCGCGCAGGCGGCUCUUUAAGUCUGGUGUUUAAUCCCGAGGCUCAACUUCGGGUCGCACUGGAAACUGGGGAGCUUGAGUGCAGAAGAGGAGAGUGGAAUUCCACGUGUAGCGGUGAAAUGCGUAGAGAUGUGGAGGAACACCAGUGGCGAAGGCGACUCUCUGGGCUGUAACUGACGCUGAGGCGC